RNAcentral lists this unclassified non-coding RNA (336 nucleotides) under soil metagenome. Its description in RNAcentral is "partial contains 5.8S ribosomal RNA, internal transcribed spacer 2, and large subunit ribosomal RNA". The stretch from base 1 to 120 matches the Rfam family "5.8S ribosomal RNA", at positions 35 to 154 of the family's 154-position model. The record is from RNAcentral.
GAUGAAGAACGUAGUGAAAUGCGAUAAGUAAUGUGAAUUGCAGAAUUCAGUGAAUCAUCGAAUCUUUGAACGCAAAUUGCGCCCGCCAGUAUUCUGGCGGGCAUGCCUGUUCGAGCGUCAUUUCAACCAUCAAGCCCCCGGCUUGUGUUGGGGACCUGCGGCUGCCGCAGGCCCUGAAAAGCAGUGGCGGGCUCGCUGUCACACCGAGCGUAGUAGCAUACAUCUCGCUCUGGGCGUGCUGCGGGUUCCGGCCGUUAAACCACCUUCAUAACCCAAGGUUGACCUCGGAUCAGGUAGGAAGACCCGCUGAACUUAAGCAUAUCAAUAAGCGGAGGA